Molecule: unclassified non-coding RNA, 459 nt
Filed under: Musa acuminata subsp. siamea
Lineage: Eukaryota; Viridiplantae; Streptophyta; Magnoliopsida; Zingiberales; Musaceae
Description: partial external transcribed spacer
Source: RNAcentral
GCAUGUGAGCGGUGAUGGAUUUGUAUGCCGCGGUGGGCUCCCUGCUAUUGUGCAGUUGACCACCGACGCUGCAAGUCUCUUCAAUGGCACUCUGUUUGAAUGGAGAUGCGUGUGUUGCCUGUACAAUCUACCUAGUUCCUUUGGAAAUAGACAUUGUUUACCUUGCUUAUCCACUUCUCUUGUCCUAUAUGAAUGAGAAGUGUCGAUGUCCGUGCACCUUGUGUGUCCUCGAACGAUGGUAUGUCUCAGACCUCUCGUCUCGAGUGGCUCCAGUGUUCACGUGAGUGCUCUUGGAUGCAGUGGAUAAGAAUGUACCAUGGGUCUUUGGACUCUUGGCACAUGAUCGGUUGGCUUUCUUAGUCGCCCUUUGACGGAUGACGGCCUUCCCAUCGUUGCCCCCCUUUCCCUUGUGGUAAUGGGUCGGCAUGUUGGGCUUGGCGUCGUAGAGGACGUGCUACC